This 880-nucleotide ribosomal RNA is filed under the name Microbacterium phyllosphaerae. RNAcentral describes it as "bacterial SSU rRNA". It matches the Rfam family "Bacterial small subunit ribosomal RNA", at positions 56 to 946 of the family's 1533-position model. Lineage: Bacteria; Bacillati; Actinomycetota; Actinomycetes; Micrococcales; Microbacteriaceae. The record is from RNAcentral.
UGCAAGUCGAACGGUGAAGCCCAGCUUGCUGGGUGGAUCAGUGGCGAACGGGUGAGUAACACGUGAGCAACCUGCCCCUGACUCUGGGAUAAGCGCUGGAAACGGCGUCUAAUACUGGAUACGAACCACAGUCGCAUGGCUCGUGGUUGGAAAGAUUUUUUGGUUGGGGAUGGGCUCGCGGCCUAUCAGCUUGUUGGUGAGGUAAUGGCUCACCAAGGCGUCGACGGGUAGCCGGCCUGAGAGGGUGACCGGCCACACUGGGACUGAGACACGGCCCAGACUCCUACGGGAGGCAGCAGUGGGGAAUAUUGCACAAUGGGCGCAAGCCUGAUGCAGCAACGCCGCGUGAGGGAUGACGGCCUUCGGGUUGUAAACCUCUUUUAGCAAGGAAGAAGCGAAAGUGACGGUACUUGCAGAAAAAGCGCCGGCUAACUACGUGCCAGCAGCCGCGGUAAUACGUAGGGCGCAAGCGUUAUCCGGAAUUAUUGGGCGUAAAGAGCUCGUAGGCGGUUUGUCGCGUCUGCUGUGAAAUCCCGAGGCUCAACCUCGGGCCUGCAGUGGGUACGGGCAGACUAGAGUGCGGUAGGGGAGAUUGGAAUUCCUGGUGUAGCGGUGGAAUGCGCAGAUAUCAGGAGGAACACCGAUGGCGAAGGCAGAUCUCUGGGCCGUAACUGACGCUGAGGAGCGAAAGGGUGGGGAGCAAACAGGCUUAGAUACCCUGGUAGUCCACCCCGUAAACGUUGGGAACUAGUUGUGGGGUCCUUUCCACGGAUUCCGUGACGCAGCUAACGCAUUAAGUUCCCCGCCUGGGGAGUACGGCCGCAAGGCUAAAACUCAAAGGAAUUGACGGGGACCCGCACAAGCGGCGGAGCAUGCGGAU